UACGGGGGGGGCAAGCGUUGUUCGGAAUUACUGGGCGUAAAGGGCUCGUAGGCGGCCAACUAAGUCAGACGUGAAAUCCCUCGGCUUAACCGGGGAACUGCGUCUGAUACUGUGCGGCUAGAGUGCGGAAGGGGCAACUGGAAUUCUUGGUGUAGCGGUGAAAUGCGUAGAUACCAAGAGGAACACCUGCGGCGAAGGCGGGUUGCUGGGCCGACACUGACGCUGAUGCGCGAAAGCUAGGGGAGCGAACGGG
Molecule: ribosomal RNA, 253 nt
Filed under: uncultured bacterium
Lineage: Bacteria
Description: partial 16S ribosomal RNA
Rfam family: Bacterial small subunit ribosomal RNA
Source: RNAcentral